GCUUUGUUGUACUUUUGGAUGUACUUCUCCGUAUUCUGUAAGGACCUCUGCGGUUUUGGCAAAACAACAAACCACACUUCACCUGGAAAACACAGCCAGGACUCACUGUCAGAUGUCUGAAAAUGUACAGUACACGCCAGCAGGUCUCACCAUAGUCAACAUCAUUAAGGAUUUGGCUCUCUGACCUGAGAAGAGGCCCCAUAAACACACCUGACAAGGACCAGCCA
Engraulis encrasicolus (European anchovy) is the source of this 227-nucleotide long non-coding RNA. RefSeq lists it as uncharacterized. Lineage: Eukaryota; Metazoa; Chordata; Actinopteri; Clupeiformes; Engraulidae. The record is from RefSeq and is a predicted model, not a curated record. The transcript has 3 exons.